Molecule: long non-coding RNA, 1434 nt
Organism: Papaver somniferum (opium poppy)
Lineage: Eukaryota; Viridiplantae; Streptophyta; Magnoliopsida; Ranunculales; Papaveraceae
Exons: 3
Source: RefSeq, a predicted model, not a curated record
UAAAAUUGAAACCUCAAUUCAAAACCCUCGGUCUCUCUCCACUUUCGUUUUAAAACCUAACUUUUCAGAACUUAACUUGUUCAAUUUCACAUCUUCGAUAUGUCUAAAAAUUUCUCUUUCUUCCCUAGCCCCAUUCUUCGAAUUAAAGAACAAUUGAUGAUUUAAUGCAAAGUGGGUUUUCAAUUUCUUGUAGUUAGGGUUGAUACUUUUGAACUGAAUGUUGGUCUAAUAGGGUGCUAUUUGAAGUGGGUUUUGUAAAUAGAGGUAAAAGUUUGUUCUUGUGAAGGGGCUGUUUGUGUUGUGCCAAAAUUUGGAUUACUGAAAAAAAGAUGUAGAAUAUCCAUCUGAGGAAGAAGAAACAAAACAUUGAGAAAGUUUUACGGAGAAGGUACCGGAGAAUUCGCCUUUCUCUACUAACAAUGGAGAUUGGAUUUCUAAUGAUGUUGUUUGAAAGGAAUUAGACGAUGAGCUGGAGAAUUUUAGUAUUUUUGGCAGAUAACUUGGAUAACAUGAAUACGUUGAUAAUGAGAAUUUACACAAACACUUUUUGCUGGUGUGAUCACUAAGGUGCCUACUUUUGGUGGUACUUAUGCAGUUCCUUAUGAGUAUUUGUUGGUGUAAUCUUAUACAGUUGAAGUAGAAAUUGCUACUGCAAGGAAGGAGGUGGGAGAGUUCUAGUGGGUGAGUUCAAUACAUUUUCUAUCUUGUUUGAUUUUGGUAUUCGGGGUGUGGCAUCUGAUGAUUUAUGAUUAUCAGCUAAAUGCAAAGAAUUUUUCUUGGCAUGGUUCGCAGAGACAAAUCUUGUGUCUGCAAAGAAAUUGUUAUAAACGGCAGAGAUGUAAGCUACCUUGAGAGACAUACAAGAUGGACUAUUACUGCUAAAUUUGUUAUGAAUGUGAAUAAAAGGCAGAACUUCGAACGACAAACGAUUCUAAAGAUACAACCUCGAGCCUAUUAUAUGAUAUGCCGCAUUGUGAAGUUAAUACAGAUUUUUGUCCUAGUGAAGCAUCAGAGGAAGUGUACUCAACUCAUUCAGUGGAGAAUAUACAAUGUGAACCGUAACAGGAUGACGAUGAUGCCCUUGUUAAUUUGGUCCUAGAACUGAUGUUCCUAAGAAUCCCAACGAAACCCUUAAGUUACGAUAUUGAUUAUGCCAGAACGCAGUUAAAGGAAAAAUGACAAUCAGCGAUACUGAUCUUGGAAAUGUUUAUACUUCUACUGACAAUGAGUUUGAAGAAGGCUUUGAAGAAUCUGACAACGAGAUAGACUUAUUGGUUUUGGUUGCGAUGAUUAAUUUGAAUAAUCUAACAACAAAACAACAUUGUUUAGGGGAGAAUUUGCAUUGUUAUUGGACAGAUUUACGUUUGCAUAGUAAAUUUUUGUUUGAUUGUUGUUAUUCUCCGUUCGGAGAGUUUCUUUAGGAAACUCAUACAU